Molecule: ribosomal RNA, 486 nt
Filed under: uncultured bacterium
Lineage: Bacteria
Description: partial 16S ribosomal RNA
Rfam family: Bacterial small subunit ribosomal RNA
Source: RNAcentral
AUUGAACGCUGGCGGCAUGCCUUACACAUGCAAGUCGAACGGCAGCACGGGUGCUUGCCCCUGGUGGCGAGUGGCGAACGGGUGAGUAAUACAUCGGAACAUGUCCUGUAGUGGGGGAUAGCCCGGCGAAAGCCGGAUUAAUACCGCAUACGAUCUACGGAUGAAAGCGGGGGACCUUCGGGCCUCGCGCUAUAGGGUUGGCCGAUGGCUGAUUAGCUAGUUGGUGGGGUAAAGGCCUACCAAGGCGACGAUCAGUAGCUGGUCUGAGAGGACGACCAGCCGCACUGGGACUGAGACACGGCCCAGACUCCUACGGGAGGCAGCAGUGGGGAAUUUUGGACAAUGGGCGAAAGCCUGAUCCAGCAAUGCCGCGUGUGUGAAGAAGGCCUUCGGGUUGUAAAGCACUUUUGUCCGGAAAGAAAUCCUUGGCCCUAAUACGGUCGGGGGAUGACGGUACCGGAAGAAUAAGCACCGGCUAACUACGUG